RNAcentral lists this RNase P RNA (416 nucleotides) under Nocardia amikacinitolerans. RNAcentral describes it as "Nocardia sp. W9988 Bacterial RNase P class A". It matches the Rfam family "Bacterial RNase P class A". From Rfam's summary of the family: Ribonuclease P (RNase P) is a ubiquitous endoribonuclease, found in archaea, bacteria and eukarya as well as chloroplasts and mitochondria. Its best characterised activity is the generation of mature 5'-ends of tRNAs by cleaving the 5'-leader elements of precursor-tRNAs. Cellular RNase Ps are ribonucleoproteins. Lineage: Bacteria; Bacillati; Actinomycetota; Actinomycetes; Mycobacteriales; Nocardiaceae. The record is from Rfam by way of RNAcentral.
CGAGUUGGUCGGGCGGCCGCGGCGAUGGGAACGGGCACUCCGGUGCCGCCGCCCGUCGCCGAGGAAAGUCCGGACUCCACAGAGCAGGGCGGUUGCUAACGGCAACCCGGGGUGACCCGCGGGACAGUGCCACAGAAAACAGACCGCCCGUGUCCCUUCGGGGACGCGCGGUGAGGGUGAAACGGUGCGGUAAGAGCGCACCAGCGCCCCGGGUGACCGGGGCGGCUCGGUAAACCCCGCCCGGAGCAAGGUCGAAGGUCGCACUCCUCGGAGUGCGGCUGCGCAGGCGUUCGAGGGUUGCUCGCCCGAGCCUGCGGGUGGGCCGCUCGAGGCACCCGGCGACGGUGUGCCCAGAUGGAUGGUCGCCGCCCGGUGCGAACCGGGAACAGGAUCCGGCUUACAGACCAACUCGUCCG